This 1009-nucleotide long non-coding RNA is filed under the name Medicago truncatula (barrel medic). RNAcentral describes it as "long non-coding RNA (MTRU_LNC003244)". The record is from RNAcentral. Lineage: Eukaryota; Viridiplantae; Streptophyta; Magnoliopsida; Fabales; Fabaceae.
CCAGAACCAAUGCACUCUUCUUCAAUAACCAAAAGCAGCAUCAAGAAUCUUCAAAACCAGGUAUGUACAUGCUUCUCAGUCUUAGAUCCCUUUCCUAGUAGCAUUUGGUCAAUAAUAUAGACUAAAUAUAUCAUUUAAUGAAUGAACCUAAAACGUUGAUUUUUGCUUAUAAUAGUGACCGGAGAGAGUACUUAUUUACUGAUUUGUUAAUUUUUGUAGCCAAAGUUCAAGAACUGUUUGUGUAUGAGAUCAAUGAACGUGAUAGAGGAAGUCCUGCAUACCUUAGACUAAGUCAAAAAUCAGUGAACUCACUUGGAGAUUUAGUACCAUUCAGCAACAAACUCUAUUCAGGAAACUUGGAAAAAAGGUUAGGUAUAACUUCAGGUUUAUGUAUACUGAUCCAGAAUGAACCUGAGAAAAAGGGUGAUAGAUAUGAAGCAAUUUACAGCUUCUACUUUGGAGACUAUGGUCAUAUAUCAGUACAAGGACCUUAUCUCACAUACCAAGACACAUAUCUUGCUAUAACAGGUGGUUCUGGAAUCUUUGAAGGUGUUUAUGGACAAGUUAAACUUCAACAACUUGUGUUCCCAUUUAAGCUGUUCUACACUUUUUACUUGAAGGGUGUUGCUGAUUUGCCAGCUGAUUUACUUGGAAAGCCUGUUGAUCCUUCACCACAUGUUGAACCAUCUACUGCUGCUAAGGCUACUGAGCCUCAUGCCUCUUUACCAAACUUCACCAACUGAUCAUCAUCAUCCUCAUGAGUUUUUGAUUUUUGAGCAAAAAAAUAAAUUGUAGUUGUUUUGGUUGUUCUAUGUCAUUUAAUUUUAGUCUUGUUUUGUACUGUUUUAGAAAUUAUUUAUGUGUUAGGUUAAGCAUAAUUGGACUUACCUGUCUUUUUUCUGGAAAUCAAUUUACAUCACUUAUGUUGAGCUUAUUCUAGAUCUCUUGAUGAGACUACAAAGAGUUGUUGGAUCUUAGAUUUAGAGCCUCUGUAGUGGCUGCAGUGUUG